CUCCGGGAAGAGCUUUUGGUGGCGUUUAUUCCUCAUUCUUGAGGUUUUUAGGGCCAGUAAGUAAAUUAGAGGAGAUUUCCCCCCUUCCUAAGGGGUUGCAGCGGUCUUGGCGACCACCUGGAUUUGGGGGAUGAGGCGCCAUGGAAAUUUUGUCGCCUCUUUUUGGAACUUUGGGCAUCUUCCAGCACCGGAGCUCAGCACUGAGGGGUGUGUGCUCUGUCCUCGACAGGCAGGAUUAUUGACUCCACACUGUGAGAAUUCCCCUCCUGAACACCUGCGCCAGAGCAAUUUCCUGCCUCCCUCCUGUUCCUGUCUGCCUGUGCUUCCCCAGGAGCCCUGCACAGCAGGAAUGUGGCAUCUGUCAACACGUGCUGCAGGAGAAGCACAGGAGCUGAGAGCGGGGCUGAGUGUGUCUGAAAUAAUUUCAUUAUUUAUGGGCUGCUGGGGAGCUGCAGGAACAGGCAGGAUGUGGGGAACACCAGGAUUUUGGGCUCAGAGGGCAGAAGUGCAGUGACAGGUGUGGCAGUCUGGUGGCACAAGGUGGAUGUGGAAUUUCUGAAAGGAGCAGAUUUCAGCAGGGUUCAGUGUGGGGCAGCUUCAGCUCUGUGGGGCUUUGGAACUCUGUUACACCUGUUGGUUAAUUUGCUUUUUUGGCCAAAACUCUUCUCCUGCUGCAUCCUGAGGUGUUGGCACCUCUUGGAAUCACAGAUUGGAGGCCCUGGAGUGUCACUUGAAUUUCCAAUCAGUUACUUGCCAGUGGAUUUAAUCCAAGUUUUUGGGUUCAUUUGUUUAAACAUUAAAUACUGGGCUAAAUCUGAAUGAAUUCUCCCUCCUGGGUUGGAUGUGGAGUGUCCUGAAGGUUUUUAUGCCAUGUGAAAUCUCCAUCACACCUGAUUUAUCCAAGGCAGAUGCCACCACCAAAAAAAUAACUUGUCCUGAAUGGGCUCCUCUCUUGUAAGGUUGAGUUUAUUGAUCACAUUGUUUAAACCUUAAAUAUUGGGCUGAAUUUGAAUAACUUUCCCUUCCUGGAUUGGACCUGGGAGUCUCCUGAAGGUUUUUAGACCCUGAAUCUCCAUCACACCUGACUGAUGCCCCCAGAAAAAAACAAAACAAAAACCUUGUCCUGAGUCAGCUCCUGUCUCAUAAUGCUGAAAAAUGAGACCUUUGGUAACUGGGGCAAGAAAAGUGCUUUGAUUAUCAUCAUUCCCUGCCCAAACAUUGCUGCUGCUGGGCAGGGAGGGGAAGGAUGGCCUGGCAGGAGUUGAGGAUGCUGAUUCCAUCCACCUCUGGCUCCAGGUGGGAUUGUCCAGAGCGGCUCCCUGAGCCCAGGGAUGGAUUUCAGGAGCAGGGAUGGCUUUGAGCUGAGCCUACAGAACAGUGCCCUCUCGUGUGCUGACAGGGCUGCGAGCUGCAAUCCCUCCCAAACUCCUCCUGGAUUCUGGAGUGUGCCCUAGGAAUUCAGCCUGAUCUGUGUGCACAGGUUGUUAUUUGUAUUUUUUCCUCUCUUUUCUCUUGCUAAAGAUUUUUGUGACUGCGGUUUUAAAUUAUGUAAAUGAAUUAGCUUUUUUAAAAUACUUUAUAGUUCAAUACACUGAUAUUUU
Zonotrichia albicollis (white-throated sparrow) is the source of this 1601-nucleotide non-coding RNA. Lineage: Eukaryota; Metazoa; Chordata; Aves; Passeriformes; Passerellidae. The record is from RefSeq and is a predicted model, not a curated record.